GAUAAACGCUGGCGGCGUGCCUAAUACAUGCAAGUCGAACGAACCUUCGGGUUAGUGGCAAACGGGUGAGUAACGCGUUGGUAUCCACCUCUAUCUCGGGCAUAAUUUACCGAAAGGUGGACUAAUUCCCGAUAGUCUCUUCGGAGUAAAGAUUUAUCGGAUAGAGAGGAACCUGCGUCCUAUCACCUUGUUGGUGAGGUAAUGGCUCACCAAGGCUCUGACGGGUAGCUGGUCUGAGAGGAUGAUCAGCCACAAUGGGACUGAGAUACGGCCCAUACUCCUACGGGAGGCAGCAGUAAGGAAUUUUGCACAAUGGACGAAAGUCUGAUGCAGCAACGCCGCGUGAAGGAUGAAGUAUUUCGGUAUGUAAACUUCUUUUAAGAGGGAUGAAGUAUGACAGUACCUCUUGAAUAAGCACCGGCUAACUACGUGCCAGCCGCCGCGGUAA
RNAcentral lists this ribosomal RNA (448 nucleotides) under uncultured bacterium. RNAcentral describes it as "partial 16S ribosomal RNA". It matches the Rfam family "Bacterial small subunit ribosomal RNA", at positions 28 to 523 of the family's 1533-position model. The record is from RNAcentral.